RNAcentral lists this long non-coding RNA (207 nucleotides) under Elaeis guineensis (African oil palm). RNAcentral describes it as "long non-coding RNA (EGUI_LNC062597)". The record is from RNAcentral. Lineage: Eukaryota; Viridiplantae; Streptophyta; Magnoliopsida; Arecales; Arecaceae.
UAACCACUCUAUUAGUAAAGAGUUGUUUUAGGAUAAAGAUGAGAUUGGGCCCAAUAACUAUUAGGUGAGGGGCCCAAUGGCAGCCUUACACCUACUUGUGAACGGUGGGUCAACCUUAACUAAGAAAUGUGAGCAAUAAUUGUUAGGUGAGCCCACAUGACUUAAAGAUCAAGUAGCUGCAACAUACUUAGAGAAGCAUCUGGGCAA